RNAcentral lists this ribosomal RNA (394 nucleotides) under Gammaproteobacteria bacterium. RNAcentral describes it as "bacterial SSU rRNA". It matches the Rfam family "Bacterial small subunit ribosomal RNA", at positions 1 to 393 of the family's 1533-position model. Lineage: Bacteria; Pseudomonadati; Pseudomonadota; Gammaproteobacteria. The record is from RNAcentral.
AAACUGAAGAGUUUGAUCCUGGCUCAGAUUGAACGCUGGCGGCAUGCCUAACACAUGCAAGUCGAACGGUAACGCGGAGAGCUUGCUCUCUGGCGACGAGUGGCGGACGGGUGAGUAAUACUUAGGAAUCUGCCCAGUAGUGGGGGACAACAUUCGGAAACGGAUGCUAAUACCGCAUACGCCCUACGGGGGAAAGCGGGGGAUCUUCGGACCUCGCGCUAUUGGAUGAGCCUAAGUCGGAUUAGCUUGUUGGUAGGGUAAUGGCCUACCAAGGCGACGAUCCGUAGCUGGUCUGAGAGGACGAUCAGCCACACUGGGACUGAGACACGGCCCAGACUCCUACGGGAGGCAGCAGUGGGGAAUAUUGGACAAUGGGCGCAAGCCUGAUCCAGCA